UACGGGGGGGGCAAGCGUUGUUCGGAAUUACUGGGCGUAAAGGGCGCGUAGGCGGUUCGAGAAGUCAGCUGUGAAAACCACGGGCUUAACUCGUGGCCUGCAGUUGAGACUGCCUGGCUUGAGUGUGGGAGAGGAGAGUGGAAUUCCUGGUGUAGCGGUGAAAUGCGUAGAUAUCAGGAGGAACACCGGUGGCGAAGGCGGCUCUCUGGACCACAACUGACGCUGAGGCGCGAAAGCUAGGGGAGCAAACGGG
This 253-nucleotide ribosomal RNA is filed under the name uncultured bacterium. RNAcentral describes it as "partial 16S ribosomal RNA". It matches the Rfam family "Bacterial small subunit ribosomal RNA", at positions 524 to 776 of the family's 1533-position model. The record is from RNAcentral.